This 489-nucleotide ribosomal RNA is filed under the name uncultured bacterium. RNAcentral describes it as "partial 16S ribosomal RNA". It matches the Rfam family "Bacterial small subunit ribosomal RNA", at positions 28 to 507 of the family's 1533-position model. The record is from RNAcentral.
GAUGAACGCUAGCGGCAGGCUUAAUACAUGCAAGUCGAGGGGCAGCAGGACUGUAGCAAUACAGUUGCUGGCGACCGGCAAACGGGUGCGGAACACGUACGCAACCUACCCAAAACUGGGGGAUAGCCCGGGGAAACCCGGAUUAAUACCUCGUAACCUUUUUAAGUGGCAUCACUUGAUAAGUAUAGCUCCGGCGGUUUUGGAUGGGCGUGCGCCUGAUUAGGUAGUUGGUGCGGGUAACGGCCCACCAAGCCCGCGAUCAGUAACUGGUGUGAGAGCACGACCAGUCACACGGGCACUGGGACACGGGCCCGACUCCUACGGGAGGCAGCAGUAAGGAAUAUUGGUCAAUGGACGCAAGUCUGAACCAGCCAUGCCGCGUGAAGGAUGAAGGUCCUCUGGAUUGUAAACUUCUUUUAUGGUGGACGAAACCCGGAUAUUCUGAUCCGAUUGACGGUACCUCAGGAAUAAGCACCGGCUAACUCCGUG